GCUUGGAUUUCUCUUGGUGGUGUUGUGCUGGCCAUAACAGGAACUGAAGCACUAUUUGCUGAUGUUGGACAUUUCACAGUUCGUUCCAUACAAAUAAGCAUGUGCUCUGUGACAUACCCUGCUCUCCUACUUGCCUACACUGGACAAGCCUCAUUUCUUCGCAAAAACAACGAUCUCGUUUCAGACACUUUCUACAAGUCCAUACCACAUCCUUUAUA
This 218-nucleotide small RNA is filed under the name Vigna angularis var. angularis. RNAcentral's name for it is "Non-protein coding transcript". The record is from RNAcentral. Lineage: Eukaryota; Viridiplantae; Streptophyta; Magnoliopsida; Fabales; Fabaceae.